UAGGGUAGGCAUGCUGUUGUG
Molecule: unclassified non-coding RNA, 21 nt
Filed under: Chlamydomonas reinhardtii
Lineage: Eukaryota; Viridiplantae; Chlorophyta; Chlorophyceae; Chlamydomonadales; Chlamydomonadaceae
Description: small RNA Cre_2333
Source: RNAcentral